AUUGAACGCUGGCGGCAGGCCUAACACAUGCAAGUCGAGCGGAUGACGGGAGCUUGCUCCUUGAUUCAGCGGCGGACGGGUGAGUAAUGCCUAGGAAUCUGCCUGGUAGUGGGGGACAACGUUUCGAAAGGAACGCUAAUACCGCAUACGUCCUACGGGAGAAAGCAGGGGACCUUCGGGCCUUGCGCUAUCAGAUGAGCCUAGGUCGGAUUAGCUAGUUGGUGGGGUAAUGGCUCACCAAGGCGACGAUCCGUAACUGGGCUGAGAGGAUGAUCAGUCACACUGGAACUGAGACACGGUCCAGACUCCUACGGGAGGCAGCAGUGGGGAAUAUUGGACAAUGGGCGAAAGCCUGAUCCAGCCAUGCCGCGUGUGUGAAGAAGGUCUUCGGAUUGUAAAGCACUUUAAGUUGGGAGGAAGGGCAGUAAGUUAAUACCCUGCUGUUUUGACGUUACCGACAGAAUAAGCACCGGCUAACUCUGUGCCAGCCGCCGCUGUAA
This 500-nucleotide ribosomal RNA is filed under the name uncultured bacterium. RNAcentral describes it as "partial 16S ribosomal RNA". It matches the Rfam family "Bacterial small subunit ribosomal RNA", at positions 30 to 523 of the family's 1533-position model. The record is from RNAcentral.